This 465-nucleotide ribosomal RNA is filed under the name uncultured bacterium. RNAcentral describes it as "partial 16S ribosomal RNA". It matches the Rfam family "Bacterial small subunit ribosomal RNA", at positions 338 to 795 of the family's 1533-position model. The record is from RNAcentral.
CCUACGGGGGGCAGCAGUAGGGAAUCUUCGACAAUGGAGGAAAGUCUGAUGGAGCAACGCCGCGUGAGUGAAGAAGGGUUUCGGCUCGUAAAGCUCUGUCGGUAGUGAAGAAAGAAAGAGGUAGUAACUGGCCUUUAUUUGACGGUAAUUACUUAGAAAGUGACGGCUAAAUACGUGCCAGCAGCCGCGGUAAUACGUAGGUGGUAAGCGUUGUCCGGAUUUAUUGGGCGUAAAGCGAGUGCAGGCGGUUCAAUAAGUCUGAUGUGAACGGCUUGGGCUCAACCGGAGAAUUGCAUCAGAAACUGUAGAACUGGAGUGCAGAAGAGGAGAGUGGAACUCCAUGUGUAGCGGUGGAAUGCGUAGAUAUAUGGAAGAACACCAGUGGCGAAGGCGGCUCUCUGGUCUGCAACUGACGCUGAGGCUCGAAAGCAUGGGUAGCGAACAGGAUUAGAUACCCCGGUAGUC